This is a long non-coding RNA of Homo sapiens (human), 939 nucleotides long. Ensembl annotates it as CDKN2B antisense RNA 1. Its record names the gene CDKN2B-AS1. Lineage: Eukaryota; Metazoa; Chordata; Mammalia; Primates; Hominidae. The record is from Ensembl.
GAUCUUAACAUAGACGUAAGAUCAAAUGCAAUAGCAUGUCAAACAAUGUGUAACUCCAGUUAUACAAACAUUACUGUAUCUCAUUGGGGAUACGAAGCUCUACACACUUGAAGAUGGUGAAGGAAUAUAAAAAUUAUCUUACAGACAGCAAGUUGAACAUUGUGGGAUGCAUGAGCUAUUGAGGCCUUUGCAGCUUUCUGCUACAUGGAGGCUAGGGCCAGAGUCAAGAUUUAUGCUUUGCAGCACACUGGUCAGCUGUUUUUGCAAAUCAGAUUAAAUGAUUUUUAAAUGAGGCUGAGAGCAUGGGAGAUACUAAUGUGUGUUUCCUUGUGAGCUACUGCAUAAGUUAGGAAAUUGAAAUACAGAAAGAUGAAAAGUGAUUUGCCCAAGCAUAUAGAUCAAAGCUGUGGCAGAACCAGGACUGGAACCUAUAUCUCUCUACUAAUGGUUUUUUUAAAAAAAUAACCUUGUUUCAAAAAUAUUAAAAAGUCACAAGAAAGGUAAACAUGUGGAUAAACAAAAUGAAGAAAAUAAAAAUUAUCCAGUAAUAACAUAUUGGCAUAUGUCUUUCUGGUAUAUUUUCCUGUGUUGUCAUCAUUAUCAUCUCCAUCAUCAUUAUAUCCAUCAUUAUCAUCAUCAUCAUCAUCAUCAUCAUCAUUAUCAUCACCAUAGUGAACAUGUAAUGCUUACCUAGUGCCAGAUGCUGUCUAGGCAUUUUACAUGUGUUACUGGUAACUCAUGUAAUCCUCAUAACAACCUUAUAAGGUGGUUGCUAUUAUCCCCAUGUUACAUAUGAAGAGACAGAAGCAUAAAGAAGUUGCACCGCUGGUAAUUGGCUGGGAUUUGAACUUAAGCAGUCUAACCUUAGAGUAAUGAUUUUAACAACUAUGCUAUAUACAUACAAAUUUACAAAAUAAAACUGGGCUCAGACAAUAAAAA